AUUGAACGCUGGCGGCAGGCCUAACACAUGCAAGUCGAGCGAGCGGCGGACGGGUGAGUAAUGUUUGGGGAUCUGCCCGAUAGAGGGGGAGAACUACUGGAAACGGUGGCUAAUACCGCAUACUAUCGGAUGUGCCCAGAUGGGAUUAGCUAGUAGGUACGGUAACGGCUUACCUAGGCGACGAUGCAUAGCUGGUCUGAGAGGAUGAUCAGCCACACUGGGACUGAGACACGGCCCAGACUCCUACGGGAGGCAGCAGUAGGGAAUAUUGCACAAUGGGCGCAAGCCUGAUGCAGCCAUGCCGCGUGAGUGAAGAAGGCCUUCGGGUUGUAAAGCACUUUCGGUCGGGAAGCGUUACCCACAGAGGAAGCACCGGCUAACUCCGUGCCAGCAGCCGCGGUAAUAC
RNAcentral lists this ribosomal RNA (406 nucleotides) under uncultured bacterium. RNAcentral's name for it is "partial 16S ribosomal RNA". It matches the Rfam family "Bacterial small subunit ribosomal RNA", at positions 30 to 526 of the family's 1533-position model. The record is from RNAcentral.